GUGCUUGUAGCUCAACUGGAUAGAGCGUUGGCCUCCGGAGCCAAAGGUUGCCCGUUCAAGUCGGGUCAAGCACA
Molecule: transfer RNA, 74 nt
Filed under: Candidatus Desantisbacteria bacterium CG_4_10_14_0_8_um_filter_48_22
Lineage: Bacteria; Candidatus Desantisiibacteriota
Also listed under: 1 other name
Description: tRNA-Arg
Rfam family: tRNA
About the family: Transfer RNA (tRNA) molecules are approximately 80 nucleotides in length. Their secondary structure includes four short double-helical elements and three loops (D, anti-codon, and T loops).
Source: RNAcentral